GGGCCCGCACAAGCGGAGGAGCAUGUGGUUUAAUUCGAUGAUACGCGAGGAACCUUACCAAGGCUUAAAUGUAAUAUGACCGGUUGAGAGAUCAACCUUUUUUCGAACAGAUUACAAGGUGCUGCAUGGUUGUCGUCAGCUCGUGCCGUGAGGUGUCGGGUUAAGUCCCAUAACGAGCGCAACCCCCUAUUUUUAGUUUACCCAGCGAGUAAUGUCCGGGAAACUCUGAGAAAAAACUGCCUGUGCAAAACAGAGAGGAAGGUGGGGAUGACGUCAAAUCAUCACGGCCCUUAUGUCUUGGGCUACACACGUGCUACAAUGGUUACUACAAUGUGAUGCCAUCUGGUGACAGAGAGCUAA
Molecule: ribosomal RNA, 360 nt
Filed under: uncultured bacterium
Lineage: Bacteria
Description: bacterial SSU rRNA
Rfam family: Bacterial small subunit ribosomal RNA
Source: RNAcentral